RNAcentral lists this non-coding RNA (31 nucleotides) under Mus musculus (house mouse). The record is from RNAcentral. Lineage: Eukaryota; Metazoa; Chordata; Mammalia; Rodentia; Muridae.
UGUUGUACCCACCUUGCAACUAUUACUUUGU